RNAcentral lists this transfer RNA (75 nucleotides) under Camelus bactrianus (Bactrian camel). It matches the Rfam family "tRNA". Rfam says of the family: Transfer RNA (tRNA) molecules are approximately 80 nucleotides in length. RNAcentral also lists the same sequence under 2 other names. The record is from Rfam by way of RNAcentral. Lineage: Eukaryota; Metazoa; Chordata; Mammalia; Artiodactyla; Camelidae.
GAGGGUAUAGCCCAGUGGUAGAGCGCAUGCUUAUUAGCAUGUAGGAAGUCCUGGGUUCGAUCCCCAGUACCUCUG